Molecule: ribosomal RNA, 979 nt
Filed under: uncultured prokaryote
Description: bacterial SSU rRNA
Rfam family: Bacterial small subunit ribosomal RNA
Source: RNAcentral
GCACCGGGCUAACUACGUGGCCAGCAGCCGCGGUAAUACGUAGGGUGCAGCGUUGUCCGGAAUUAUUGGGCGUAAAGAGCUCGUAGGCGGCUUGUCGCGUCUGCUGUGAAAACCAGAGGCUCAACCUCUGGCCUGCAGUGGGUACGGGCAAGCUAGAGUGCGGUAGGGGAGAUUGGAAUUCCUGGUGUAGCGGUGGAAUGCGCAGAUAUCAGGAGGAACACCGAUGGCGAAGGCAGAUCUCUGGGCCGUAACUGACGCUGAGGAGCGAAAGCAUGGGGAGCGAACAGGAUUAGAUACCCUGGUAGUCCAUGCCGUAAACGUUGGGAACUAGAUGUAGGGCCUGUUCCACGGGUUCUGUGUCGUAGCUAACGCAUUAAGUUCCCCGCCUGGGGAGUACGGCCGCAAGGCUAAAACUCAAAGGAAUUGACGGGGGCCCGCACAAGCGGCGGAGCAUGCGGAUUAAUUCGAUGCAACGCGAAGAACCUUACCAAGGCUUGACAUAUACGAGAACACUGUAGAGAUACAGGACUCUUUGGACACUCGUAAACAGGUGGUGCAUGGUUGUCGUCAGCUCGUGUCGUGAGAUGUUCGGUUAAGUCCGGCAACGAGCGCAACCCUCGUCCUAUGUUGCCAGCACGUGAUGGUGGGAACUCAUGGGAUACUGCCGUGGUCAACACGGAGGAAGGUGGGGAUGACGUCAAAUCAUCAUGCCCCUUAUGUCUUGGGCUUCACGCAUGCUACAAUGGCCGAUACAAAGGGUUGCGAUACCGUGAGGUGGAGCGAAUCCCAAAAAGUCGGUCUCAGUUCGGAUUGGGGUCUGCAACUCGACCCCAUGAAGUCGGAGUCGCUAGUAAUCGCAGAUCAGCAACGCUGCGGUGAAUACGUUCCCGGGCCUUGUACACACCGCCCGUCAAGUCAUGAAAGUCGGUAACACCCGAAGCCGGUGGCCUAACCCUUGUGGAGGGAGCUUCGUUGUGAC